Molecule: ribosomal RNA, 1272 nt
Filed under: Triticum aestivum (bread wheat)
Lineage: Eukaryota; Viridiplantae; Streptophyta; Magnoliopsida; Poales; Poaceae
Description: partial small subunit ribosomal RNA
Source: RNAcentral
AUGUUUCUUUCUGCUCAUGCUAUGGGUCAACAACUGGCCGUACCCACACCCACCAUUGUUAUACACAUCAAUGGCAAACGAGCUAUUGCUCUUCUGGAUUCGGGCAGUACAACCUCCUUCAUCAAUCCACAGUUUGCAGCUAAAGCUAACUGCAAUAUACUGCCUGUUAAACCGAGAGCCAUUGUUGUAGCUAGUGGGGCACGCCUACUAUCUACGGCUGUGGUCCCUAAUUGUGAGUUUCUAGUUGCCAAAACAAGGAUAUAUCACAAUUUCAGAACCCUGGAAUUGCCCGGCCAUGAUGUGAUCUUGGGCUACGAUUGGUUUACUGCUGUUAGUCCUGUAGCUUUUGACAUUCCCAAGCAACAAUUCAGUUUCACACAAAAAGGGCAACAGACAAUGACUGCAGCUAUUUUCACCAAUUCCCAGACCACUAAGGAAGUACCAGCAGAGGAUGUGAACAAGUUAAUGGAUAAAGGAGCAGAAGUAUUCUUAUUGCAAGUGCAUAAUAUACUCAUGGAAGCUCUAGAAGGGACCAAAACACCUCCACAAAUACAACAACUACUCCUGACAUAUGCUGAUUUAUUUGAGGAACCUACUGAACUCCCACCUCAUAGAGCAUUGGAUCACAAAAUUCCUUUGGUACGAGGAGCAAAUCCUCCACAAUUGAGACCUUAUAGAGUUCCACAACAUCAAAAGAGAGAAAUGGAAGAGCAGAUAAAAAAGUUGUUGGCCAACCAUUUGAUUAGACAUAGCCAAAGUCCUUAUGCUGCUCCAAUCCUGUUGGUCAAAAAGAAGGACAACUCUAUGAGGUUAUGCACUGAUUUCAGAAAGCUAAACUCCCUGACAAUCAAAAAUAAAUUCCCUAUUCCAGUUAUAGAGGAUUUAUUGGAUGAAUUGCAUGGAGAAAAAUAUUUUUCUAAAUUGGACCUGAGAUCUGGGUACCACCAAAUAAGAAUGCACCCAGAUGAUAUUCACAAAACUGCUUUCAGGACUUAUUUGGGGCAUUUUGAAUAUUUAGUCAUGCCUUUUGGGCUGUCUAAUGCCCCAGGCACAUUCCAAGAGUUAAUGAAUACAAUAUUUGCUCCAUAUUUGAGAAAGUUUGUGUUGGUUUUCUUUGAUGAUAUCCUCAUCUACAGCAGAACCCUCAAGGAACAUCUGGAACAUAUCAAGGUUGUAUUACAAGUGUUAAGAGAUAACAAAUUGUUUGCAAAAAAAAUCCAAGUGCAGCUUUGCAGUGCAAAAAGUGGAAUAUCUGGGUCAUGUGAUAUCUGA